UCAGACGAUGCGUCAUGCAUAUCAAUAAGCGGAGGAAAAGAAACUAACAAGGAUUCCCUUAGUAACGGCGAGUGAAGCGGGAAGAGCUCAAAUUUGAAAUCUUCAAGGUUUUACCUUGACGAAUUGUAGUUUAAAGAAGUGUUUUCUGCUGAGGUUUUGGUAAAAGUUCUUUGGAAUAGGACAUCAUAGAGGGUGAGAAUCCCGUAUGAUUGACCGAUUAUUGUCAGCUUUGUGAUACACUUUCAAAGAGUCGGGUUGUUUGGGAAUGCAGCCCAAAACGGGAGGUAAAUUUCUUCUAAGGCUAAAUAUUGGCGAGAGACCGAUAGCGAACAAGUACCGUGAGGGAAAGAUGAAAAGAACUUUGAAAAGAGAGUUAAAUAGUACGUGAAAUUGUCAAAAGGGAAGCGUUUAACACCAGUGUUGUUUUCUGAAAAUCAACCUCUGUUAGCUUUAUGCAUGUUUGUUUAGACCUAAUCAGCUAUCUUGCAUGUUCUAUUGUUUGCAAGUGGUGCACUUUUCAGUUUACAGGUCAACAUCAGUUUUUUUUACCGUAAAAAAGUUAAAGAAAGGUAGCUCAUGGCUCCGGUCGUGAGUGUUAUAGUCUUUUUCCUAUGCGGUAGGAGAGACUGAGGUCUGCAGUGUAGGCUAUUUGGCUAGAUACUCAGGUGCUAUGUGAUACCAUUUCAUAAACAACUUGUUGAUUAUGUUUUGUCUAUUGCAUACUCGCUUGUACUAUCAUACCUACGCUUAGGAUGUUGACUGAUAUGUAGUCGUA
RNAcentral lists this ribosomal RNA (775 nucleotides) under uncultured Neocallimastigales. RNAcentral describes it as "partial large subunit ribosomal RNA". It matches the Rfam family "Eukaryotic large subunit ribosomal RNA", at positions 18 to 644 of the family's 3401-position model. The record is from RNAcentral. Lineage: Eukaryota; Fungi; Neocallimastigomycota; Neocallimastigomycetes; Neocallimastigales.